This 840-nucleotide ribosomal RNA is filed under the name Triticum aestivum (bread wheat). RNAcentral describes it as "partial small subunit ribosomal RNA". The record is from RNAcentral. Lineage: Eukaryota; Viridiplantae; Streptophyta; Magnoliopsida; Poales; Poaceae.
AUGAAUUGCUUAACGUGGAACUGACAAGGGGUGGCCAACAAACUGACAGUUCGUGACUUGGUUGGCACAAUGAAAUCUACAAAAGCAAAAUUAGUUUUUUUUUUGUGUGAGACAAGACAGAGUUCGAAAGUUAAGCGCUUGUGUGGUAGACUAGGAUUAAGAGGCUUUUCGGGAGUUAGUAGUGAUGGUUUGUAUGGAGGGCUAGCCCUGUUUUGGUGUGAAAGUUUAUAUGUGGAAGUUCAGUCUGCUAAUGAUAGAUAUAUUGAUGCGUAUGUGCGGCUCUCUGAGCACGACCCUUUGUGGCGUUUGACUUGUGUGUAUGGGGAACCACGUACAGAAAACAUACACCGUAUGUGGACACACAUGAGUCACCUAAAAACUUCUAAUUUACCUUGGUGUGUCAUUGGAGACACCAAUGAAGCAAUGUGGUGUUUUGAACACUUCUCGCUUACAUCACGUAAUGAGAACCAGAUGUUGGCAUUUCGGGAUACUCUAGAGGUGUGUGAGCUUAUUGAUAUCGGCUUCUCUGGCUUACUUUUUACCUAUGAUAAUAAGCAGCGUGGAAGGAAGAAUGUAUGGGUGAGGCUUGAUAGAGCGGUGGCGGACAAUCGAUGGCGAGAUAUUUUCUUGGAAGCUAGAGUGGUCCGCAAUGUUUCACCAUGCUCUCAUCAUACGCCAAUAGUACUGGAAUGCAUCAAAGAACAUGUGCCAGCAUCCGGUGCAAUUUUCGCAGGUAUGAAACUUUUUGGGAACGUGAUGCUACUUUACCUGAGAAAGUUGUUGCUGCUUGGGAGCAAGCAAGCCGCAAAUUCAGUCUGGGUGACAUUCGAGCAAGACUAA